AGAGUUUGAUCAUGGCUCAGGAUGAACGCUAGCGGGAGGCCUAACACAUGCAAGCCGAGCGGUAUGGAUAGCUUGCUAUCCAGAGAGCGGCGUACGGGUGCGUAACACGUGUGCAACCUGCCUUUAUCUGGGGGAUAGCCUUUCGAAAGGAAGAUUAAUACCCCAUAAUAUGGUGUCCGGCAUCGGUCGCCAUUGAAAGCCUCGGCGGAUAGAGAUGGGCACGCGCAAGAUUAGAUAGUUGGCGGGGUAACGGCCCACCAAGUCGAUGAUCUUUAGGGGUCCUGAGAGGGAGAUCCCCCACACUGGUACUGAGACACGGACCAGACUCCUACGGGAGGCAGCAGUGAGGAAUAUUGGACAAUGGGUGGAAGCCUGAUCCAGCCAUCCCGCGUGAAGGAUGACGGUCCUAUGGAUUGUAAACUUCUUUUGUACAGGGAUAAACCUGCCCUCGUGAGGGCAGCUGAAGGUACUGUACGAAUAAGCACCGGCUAACUCCGUGCCAGCAGCCGCGGUAAUACGGAGGGUGCGAGCGUUAUCCGGAUUUAUUGGGUUUAAAGGGUCCGUAGGCGGGCCUGUAAGUCAGUGGUGAAAUCUCAUAGCUUAACUAUGAAACUGCCAUUGAUACUGCAGGCCUUGAGUAAAUUUGAAGUGGCUGGAAUAAGUAGUGUAGCGGUGAAAUGCAUAGAUAUUACUUAGAACACCGAUUGCGAAGGCAGGUCACUAAGAUUUAACUGACGCUGAUGGACGAAAGCGUGGGGAGCGAACAGGAUUAGAUACCCUGGUAGUCCACGCCGUAAACGAUGCUAACUCGUUUUUGGAUCUUCGGGUUCAGAGACCAAGCGAAAGUGAUAAGUUAGCCACCUGGGGAGUACGUCCGCAAGGAUGAAACUCAAGGAAUUGACGG
Molecule: ribosomal RNA, 904 nt
Filed under: uncultured bacterium
Lineage: Bacteria
Description: bacterial SSU rRNA
Rfam family: Bacterial small subunit ribosomal RNA
Source: RNAcentral